Long non-coding RNA from Cucumis melo (muskmelon), 1504 nucleotides. RefSeq lists it as uncharacterized. Lineage: Eukaryota; Viridiplantae; Streptophyta; Magnoliopsida; Cucurbitales; Cucurbitaceae. The transcript is spliced from 3 exons. The record is from RefSeq and is a predicted model, not a curated record.
UUCUCUCGCUGCCGUCGUCGGUUUGGUUUCAGUUGGAUUAACCGAUUUUGAUCGCACCAAUGUCGUAAUUUUGAUCCCGUUGUAUGUUUUCAAUGAUAAUGGCUUUUAUAUCCGAUCUUAUGCUCUUCCAUUUUCAUCUCUUGGUCAGAAAAAGCCCUAAAACUCGUCGCCAUCCUCUUCUUAUCCGGUUGCUCCACUGACUCCUCCGUCGUUCCUACUCCUACUCGCCGCCCAGAAAAAGUGCCGACGUCCUCCGAUAUUGGGAAAAUCAUGAAUACUCCAUGUGCAGAGACGAGGUUGAGGUUGCGAAUGAGGAUGAAAAUGUAGAUUAUGCUACUACGAGAGAUCAAGACAAUAGGAAGCAAGAAGGUAAUGUUGAUAUUAAUGAUCCUUAUGAUGUUGAAUGUGAAUAUUGUGGUGCUUUAUAUGCCAAUCAUUCAAAGAGAAAUUGAAUGGAAAAUAUGGAAGCAUAUCCCGAGAACUAUCCUACUGAUCGUCUUUGUUGCGGUGGGGCAGAAGAUGGAUAUAAAGAGAAUCUGAUAUUAGAAAGUGAAGAGGAGGACGAGGAGGGUGUAGGUGAGAACUGAUCAAAGUCAUUUGAUUCAACACUCACUGGUAGAGUUUUUUAUGCAGAAGUUGCAAGCUAAGAAUACCAAAGGAAAAAAUGACCAUUAUUGAUAAACUGCCUCUCAACUUUGUGAAAUAUAUAUACUGAAAAUAUAUCAAAGUGAAGAAACGAUCUCUAAAGAAGAUUUUUGUAGAACAAGAUCCUAGAGUUUCUCUCGCAAUUCAUACUUAGACGUUGGAUCAAGAUAUGAUAGUUCUUACGGGACAUUUCAUUGAUGUCAAUUGGAAAAUGCAGAAGUAGCUAAGGGUUCUCAAUUUUUGUUCAAUCAAGAAUUUUGAUGGAGAGACUAAUGGAAAAGGAGUAGGAUGUUUGAACAAAUGGUGUAUGGAAAAGGAGUUGGUUUUGGACAGUAAAUUUGUGCACGUUAAAUGUUGUGCCCAUAUUUUGAAUUUGAUUGUAUGUGAUAUUAUGAAAGAUUUUCCUGAAUUGAUUUCUAAGAUUUGAAACAUUGUUUGGUACGUGAGAUCGAUCUACUCUUGAACGAUUUAGUUGCUUUGAGAAAUGUAUUGAAGAGAAAAACUUGUCUAUAGCAAUAAUGUUUUCAAAUCUAGUAGAGGCUCAUGCAUACUUGCACAAUUGGGCUAAGCAAGGAUACUGCACGAUCGAGUUGAUAUUCGAUAACAUAUAGAGGAUGCUAUUCGCAUGGAGGAACUAGGAAGAUUUUCAAACAAACUUAAAAGCAACAUCAACCAAGGAGGUGGGGGACAAUGCGUGGUGAAAAUAAGGGUCAUUAGGAUGCUUUAAAUUUGAACUCUUUAGGGUUGCUUUUUCCUGUUGAAUUUCUUGGUAUUGUAUUGUCAAAAUGAUCUAGAAAAGAAAAAACUCAUUAUAUUGGUUACUGAAUUCAGCCCUUUUAGGAUAUGUAUCUUGUGAAUG